GUGUAACCCUUCUGCCAAGCCGGGCCAAGAUUCAUAUCGAAGCCAUCCUUAGCGCCGCCAUUCUGGUACCAGACAACAAAAUGUUCACUCCGUCCUCCAAACUACGUACAAAAUAACGAGAGAGGGGGAUGGCGAGAGGAAUCAGCGUAGUUCACGGUGUUUGAACAGUUCAUCCAAAUUGUUUAUCCGCUGUUCAGUCGGCUGUUUGCCAUCCGCACGAGUUGACGCCGUAUUCUGGCGUUUGUCUAGAAACUGGCGAUUAAACCAGCAAGUCGUGAGAGAUGCCGACGCUGUGGCGUCCUUGGUGAGUGCGUAAAUCAACAACGAGCAUAACUUGAGAACGCGUUACCGGAAGCGUGGCAGAAGAGGACACGGUCUGGCUUUUCAUACAUACGAGAAUCCUCGCGUUCCAUCAGCGUAAUUUUCACCCACGUUUCUGUCUCCGCGCGGCCGUGUGUCUGUGUACGUCAACAUCUACGGAAACGGAAGUUCCUUCUGUGAGCACAACAGCUUGCAGGGAUCUUCUCGUUGACGUCCACAGAUGCGUACAAGACGGUGAGAAAGCAGCGUUCGCGAGGUAAAUUGGGAACAACAACUUUCCAUUCUCCAAAUUUUCUUCCAAGGUUACAUCGUAUCGUGAUGGAAGAGCCGUCAGGAUUCAUUGGAUUUCGACAAUCUUGAAAUCUGUCGUCCGUAGGGGUGACACACACGACGUCUUCGCCAGAUUUCGUUAUGGUUCUAUAAACGGAUACGGAUGGAUGCAGCACUUCUGACCAUCCCUGGAUAGAUCUACCCAUCGAUCUGACCUCGUAUGGACGCGUGGUUUGUCUUCAACGCCGAGGAUUUACAAUCUACCCCU
Molecule: long non-coding RNA, 859 nt
Organism: Osmia bicornis bicornis
Lineage: Eukaryota; Metazoa; Arthropoda; Insecta; Hymenoptera; Megachilidae
Exons: 3
Source: RefSeq, a predicted model, not a curated record